ACUGACUGGGAUUUUCUCUCAGAGCGACUGGGUGGCCCGCCUACUUCACCGAGGAGAGGCCUGUUACGCUCUGGCUGUCCUAACAACUCACCUAUAUCCCCACCCUUGUCUCACAGGCCGAGGUACAGGGGGGCGGUUAUUUCCUUCCUCAGCAGCGCGGCACACAGACUUCCGGUUAGCCCAGCGCCCACGACCAGUACCCGGGACAUGGCGGCUGCCCUUCGGCUAGGCCGCUGACAGAGACGCGGAGCCUCGCCGUCCCACUCUACCACUGUGUCCCCGCGUGGGUCAGGCAGGGCGGUGCCCUGCGCGAGACGUCUGCUCCUGAGAGCGCGGAGAACCCACAGGGGUGACUGAGGCCCCGGCGACUUUCUGCCCAGGCCUCCACCGGGCAGCUUGGUUACCCGGUGAGCCCCAAUCCCAUCGUCCCCUGGAGGAUAAAUCAGGAAGUCACCGCCAGUUGGCCUCUUGAGGAUGACUGAAGUGAGGGAGAGGAGUCAGCAGCAAAGCCACAGCCAGAUUUCUUCUGUGGUUUUAUAGGCCUCUUCAGGUGACAGAGGGUUUUGAAAUCAGAGACUUUUUUUUUUUUAAUCAUUGUUACACCACCUCAGAGACUAUAAAUUAUGUGUCCUUCCUGACAUUGGCUCCUCAGUGACUGCAAAAUGUGGAAAAUAAUACCUCCUUUCCAAAGUUGUGAAGAAUACAGGUACUUGGUUCACCAGAAAAUUUUGUCUCACUUACCAUGUCCACAAAUACAAACUUCUGUGUCAAAAUGGGAUCACUGUGAAUGAAGGAAUAUUCUGUAAAGUAGAAUCUGUCACUACCAUGGCCCUGGCAUCAACUUUGCCCUAAGAAGUUCUCAAUU
Molecule: long non-coding RNA, 865 nt
Filed under: Mus musculus (house mouse)
Lineage: Eukaryota; Metazoa; Chordata; Mammalia; Rodentia; Muridae
Description: long non-coding RNA chr19:33391863-33392728
Source: RNAcentral